UUCGCACAGGUUCUUAAAAACCGGUGGGAAAAAAAAUGGGCGGGAUUUGGAUAAUUACUUUUCGCACCGAUUCUUUAUAAACCGGUGCCAAAUCUUGAUUUUCGCACCGGUUUGAACCGAUUCUAAAUGUUUUUAUUAAAAAAAAAAAAAAGAGGGAAAGAGGGAUUUCGCACCGGUUCAGCCCAAAUCGGUGGGAAAAAUUCAUUUACAACCGGUUCGAACCGGGGCUGUAAAUUAAACAAAAAAAAACACUUAAUCGUGAAAUUCGAUCUUCUUCUUCCUUCAAUUCAGUUUUCGUUCCCCUUCUAGCUUUUCCACAUUCAAUUCGCACCCCCCUCGUUGUCGCCUACCUUCCCCAUAGUUGUACGACCUCCAUCGAACCACAUUCUGGGCUUUCUCACCUCCAUUGCCGCAACUCAUCUCUUUCUCUCCAUAGCUCUCCUCCAUUGAAGUGCAUUCUGCUGAGCUUUCCAACUCCAUUGUAGCAGCUUCGAGUUGAUAUUAUAUCAAUUAUUGAAUUUGACAAGACUAUGGACCACCUUGCUACUGGAGAUCGUGGGGGCCAGGUUGUUUUGUUAGAGAGAACUGACAGAAAGGGUCCUGGUGGACCUAGAAGAGAUCUUGUUAGUAGGCAUCUUGAGUUUCGCUAUCAGACUGAGUUUUUGAGCCAUGAACCAGAGUUUGAGUACCUAAAGAGUUUAGAGAUUGAAGAGAAAAAUAAAUAAGAUCAGAUGGUGUGAGAUGGCUAAUGGCGCACUAUUUCUUCUUUCCACUAAUGACAAAACCAUCAAAUUCUAGAAGCAAAAUAGGUGAGCUGAAAGGCCAGAGAGCAUGAAACAGUAUGUGUGCCCGAGUCAGCUUGUUCACACUUAUAAAGAUGUAUUAGCUCGUUCUGUUGGCUCUAUCAUCCAAGAAUUUGAAUUACAGCAAAUGUUAAGUACGUGUGCCCGAGUCCAACCCGUGAGGUCUGUAGCUAUCUUCACUCAUAUAUAACACCACACAUCACAAAGUACAUGUAAACACAUUCUUUACUUGAACCAACAAGGCAGACAGAGACUGUAAAAGCUGAGGUGAUUACUUUUGUCAACUCAAGGGAUUGCUUCUUGACACCAAUGUGCUUUAUUUCUCUUUUCUAUUUCUAGGACUAGGAUGCACCGCAAGAAUGGCCAAUUUCCCUCUUUGAGAGAAGGUUCAGCAUCUUUCAAUUUUGAAGCUAAAAAGAACUUAGUGGUUGGUAGAAGCCUGGGACCAGAAACUGUUUCAAACAAGUGUCACCACUGUGGUAUUAGUGAAAAUGAUACACCAGUAAUGUGAUGCGGACCAGCUGGUCCAAGAACCUUGUGCAAUGCUUGCGGACUGAUGUGGGCCAACAAGAUGUGAAUUCAUAAUAUUGUAUUUAAAAUGUUUUAGAGUUGAGAUUCUUGAGAGAGAUAAAUUGUUAUAAUAUCAACAUAUAUGCAUUGAGCUUUGCGUAAUUAAAAUAAUGUGCUGUAGGAUAGAGGAAACCAUUUGUGCAGGAUUCUGUCUGUGUAAAAUGGUCUAUGUAAUCUAAGUUUCUGAUACUAAGGAGCGAUUAUGUUGCUAGAGAAGAAAUUAUUAGCCUGAUUUGAUAAUUGAAACAAAUUUGGUUGAUAAUUGAACUAUGAAAUUGGACCUAUUCUCCCAUUACUACUACUGUUUAAUUGGAAAUAUGAAUUUGGACCUCUUCUCCCAACAAUGAACAAUGAUGCAGUUAGAAUUAGAUUCAUCUCAAUAAAUUAAUCCAAAAGAAAAUCAUUUUAUGGUUUAUAUGCUAUAUUUAUAGGUAGUGUGAUAAAUAAUAAUGAUCAAAGUUAGCAAGGUUUGAUCUUUGAUGACUGAAUAUUAUUUUGAGAUGGGAUGAGUGAUACUUGAAAACAACCAUCAGUUUGGUAAGAAAAGAUUUGCAAUAUAAUUCAUGGUUGUUUGCAUAUAUCUAUCUUUUAUGAUGUAUUCUUGACAAACAGACAUUGGAUUUUAUCAAAGUCUUUAUUUUUAUCAAUUAAGAGAUGUCUUCAGGAUUCAGGACAGGGUAAUCAAAAUUUUAUGAUCUAUUCUUGACUUGUGCUGACCAUAUAUGUCAACUUAGGCCAUUAAAAAAAGAUAGGAGGAAGUACUUCGCAUUACGUAUCCUGUUAUAAGUUAAUCAACUUUGUAAUGCACAUAAUGGCCAGAGUCUGAGAAGUGAGAACCACUAGUGUUACAAAUGCUCUUGAGUGAUCUUUGCUGACUACAUAGUAAAUUGUUAUUCUAGUCUGUUGGUGCCUUGCAUUUGAUGGAUUAUUCUUUCUGGCAUUGAGUUUUUUUCCCAUAAGUGAUCCCUAGAAAUUGCAAAGUGCCAUUAGCACAGCACCACAGCAGCCGCAGCAGAACCCAGCAAAAACAGGCAGCCUGACCCAGAGCACCCAAACCAGCAAGCAACACAGCACUACAGCAGAGCAGCAAACACCCUGCACAGCCUGUUAUGACACAACCACAGAAGCAAACAGAUGUCCAGCCAGCCUGAACAGGAUAAAGGCACAGCAGUGCAGCAUAACAGAAAUAGUCGCACAACAAACAGCGGAGCAGCCUGUCAACCUGAACACACAACAACACAGUAGCCAGCAGAGCAGCCACCAACACAAGACCAGGACAGCUCCUGCUAGAACUCAUACAGUAUGUUGUUUUUGAAGAAAAUAUAUAUGUUAGUGUUUAUAUGUCCAUUUUUUUAUGUAUAUGUUAGUGUUUAUAU
Molecule: long non-coding RNA, 2749 nt
Organism: Chenopodium quinoa (quinoa)
Lineage: Eukaryota; Viridiplantae; Streptophyta; Magnoliopsida; Caryophyllales; Amaranthaceae
Exons: 6
Source: RefSeq, a predicted model, not a curated record